GACCUUGCCUAAACUUGCUGAUCGUUCUCAUGGCAUCGGCACCACCUUAAAGGUCACAUCGCCACUUUACGCGAGAAAACAAACUUCUUGUAGUCACCGCUUCCGCCGGUGGACCUGACUAUGACUGCGACUCCACGCUUUCGCACCCCGGGAAAGGCUAAUCUAUGGGACCAUCAGGUGCGGC
RNAcentral lists this ribosomal RNA (184 nucleotides) under uncultured bacterium. Its description in RNAcentral is "partial 16S ribosomal RNA". The record is from RNAcentral.